CAUCAGGUCUGGAUUGUGCGGCUCAAUUGGAUUCAACGCCCGAAACCCCACCAGGACAGGAGCGCUCGAUGAAGCACCGGCCGAAUACCUCUGCCGAUGAGCGUGCAGGUGGUGCAUGGCCGCCGUAGUUCGUGAGGUGACUUGUCUGGUCUAUUCCGACAACGAACGCAACCACAAUGCUCCACUAUCUCGCGAGCCCCACGUGGGUCCGCGAGAAACUGGAGCAGACAAAUCGCUCGAUGGGCUCAGCCCAAGGCGAAGGAAGCUAUGGCGAUGGCAGGUCUGUGAUGCCCCUAGAUGCCCUGGAUCGCACGCGCAAUACAAUGGCGACCCAAGCGCGCAGGUUCGUCCGAGAGGACUUACAAAUCGCACGAAAAGUCGCCUCAGUCGGGAUCGAGGAUUGCAACUGUUCCUCGUCAACGCGGAACACCUCGUAGUGGCGUGUCAUAAACGCGCCACGAAUUAGUCCCUGCCCUUUGUACAC
Molecule: ribosomal RNA, 484 nt
Filed under: uncultured Paramyxa
Lineage: Eukaryota; Endomyxa; Ascetosporea
Description: bacterial SSU rRNA
Rfam family: Eukaryotic small subunit ribosomal RNA
Source: RNAcentral